GUUGAAGAGGUUGGAUUAAAACUAGGGCUGCUAACUUUAGUUUGUGCGGUUUGACUCCGUGCUUUCUUCUGU
RNAcentral lists this transfer RNA (72 nucleotides) under Micrura ignea. Its description in RNAcentral is "tRNA-Ser". The record is from RNAcentral. Lineage: Eukaryota; Metazoa; Nemertea; Pilidiophora; Heteronemertea; Lineidae.